Molecule: transfer RNA, 70 nt
Filed under: Laimosemion geayi
Lineage: Eukaryota; Metazoa; Chordata; Actinopteri; Cyprinodontiformes; Rivulidae
Description: tRNA-Gln
Rfam family: tRNA
About the family: Transfer RNA (tRNA) molecules are approximately 80 nucleotides in length. Their secondary structure includes four short double-helical elements and three loops (D, anti-codon, and T loops).
Source: RNAcentral
UAGAAAGUGGUGUAGUGGAAGCACAAAGAGUCUUGGUCUCUUUAGAUUGGGUUCAAACCCCUUCUUUCUA